This 2397-nucleotide long non-coding RNA is filed under the name Polistes fuscatus (common paper wasp). RNAcentral's name for it is "uncharacterized LOC122522827, transcript variant X2". The record is from RNAcentral. Lineage: Eukaryota; Metazoa; Arthropoda; Insecta; Hymenoptera; Vespidae.
UAACCCUCCUUGUUCGUUCGUUCGUUCGUUCGUCGUUCGUCGUUCGUUCGUCGUUCGUUCCUGAGACGCGAGCCUGCUGCCGCGUAGCCCACCACGUGGUUUUAUUGGGCAAAUAACGCCUGUUGGAUGAGAAGUGAAGAGGGUUGAGCGUUAUGCGGAGAGUCUUCUCUUCAGCGGCGGGAGGAACCAGCGAAGCGUACAAGAUCGACUCUAGACGGAGGAAGAUGGAAAGAAAAAGUACAAGAAGAAGAAGCGUUGUGGCGAGGAGAGAGAAGUAGACUAACAUAACUGUGGUGGUGAUAGUAGUAGUAGUGGUGAUGCUGGAAAGACUGUUCAGCUGAACGAUGUACCAGAAACAAGAAGAAAGAAGAAGAGGGAGAGAUAGAGUAGAGAAGAGAAGAGAAGAGAAGAGAUGAGAUGAGAUGAAAUGAAAUGAGAUGAGAUGAGAUGAGAUGAGAAGAGAGGGGUCGGUGAAACGGUCGGAGGCAGAGAGGGCUUUGAUUUAAAAUGCAACGAGGGGCCAAGCGGUAACGGGGUGGGACAGCUCUUCCAGUAAAGGAGAAAGAGAGGUGGCUGCUAUACGGAUGGAUCCUGCCUGGGAGCCAUGUUCCUCCUGUGAAACGCAGAGAGGCCGUGUUCCAGGAUGGAAUCCACGAUGGAAUGAAGAGAAAGAGAGAAAGAGAGAGGAGGAAUAGAAAGAGGAAGAGAGAAAAAGAGGGGAUGCUACCGGCAACGACGAAAGAGGGCGAAGAAGGACGGAAAGAGGCGAUCCUGAAACGGAGUGGUAGUCGUGGCGUUCUUGGUGGUGGAAGCUUCUCCAGCUUCCGUUGAACGAAGAAUUGCAAGGGAGGGUAGCAAAAGAAUUUUGCGUGGCUCGUCGCAACGCGCGCCGCAUCGAGCCAGCCACCUUCGACUUCCACCAUGUAGUAGUUUUCUUUACCCUUCUCCUUUCUUCUUCUUCUUCUUCUUCUUCUUCUUCUUCUUCUUCCUCUUCUCCUCCUCCCUCUUUCUCAUUCUUUCUUCCUAUCUUAUCUCCCAAUAAUUUUUUAUUAGGUCAACUUGUUUGCUCGUCUACCCUUUUUCUUUCUCUCGAUCCUAUUUUUCUUUUACUAAAACUAUCUAACGCAUUAGAGUUCAUUCUUUUUAUAGUUUUGAUUGCUUCGAUAGAUAUUAGAUAAAAACGUAUUUAAGGAGACUAAUUCGGUAUCAAUUAUUGCCGACAAUUAGCUCUAAUGUCUAACUCUCGUCGAUUUAAAACAUUGUCUUUUUAAUAAAUUCGACCCUUUAAAUACGAUUAACCUCAGAUAAUACUCCAUUUUGCGAAAGAGCCUUGUAGUAAAAGGGGGCGUGAUCAUAACGUGUCCUUGAGUGACGGUAGACAGACAGACAGGGACUUAAGUUCGUGCCACCGGGCUGAACUUUAGGGUGACGGAUGAUUUAGCACGGGAUUUCUCCUGUCAAUAUAGCGAAUAUCCUGCCAUGGUCCUACAGCUUUCUUGAUACUCAUCGGAGGGAUAUGUCAAUAUAUCUUUUUAUCUUUGCCCUUUCAUUCUGCUUUUUAGCCAUUAGUCGAUCACAUUACUGAUAUGUUUGUACGAUCGGUUAAUAUAUUUUGAUCGUAAAAUAUUUGAACAAACUUGUUAGAAAGAAUCCUUUAAUUAAAUGUAAAUAUUAUAUCUUAAAAAUAAAAUCGAAUAUAGUAAAUCUGAUCUCAGGUGAACACAAAUUGUGCAGAAGACAAACUAAUGUAAACGAUCAAUAGAUGUCAACUUUGAUGAAUCCAGUUUGUUAAACCACGAAGUAAAUUCUGAGAAGGAUUCACAGGGAUGAAGACUCGGUUAUGGAUGUGACAGCUCAAUAAGGGUGAAAAAAGAUGACUGUUCGAGAGAGAGAAAUAGUUCACCCAAGGAAUUCGCUCGUCAAUCCAUAUCUCUUUUCGUUCGGAUCCCUUCAUCUUAAUACUUGGAUCAGGAAAAACAAAAAUGAAGAAUGAGAUAAGAAAAGACACUGUAAGGGACAAAAAUACGAAGAAAUAUGAAAAUAAGAAGAAGAAGAAGGAAAAGAAGAAGAAGAAGAAAGUAACGAAGAAUGUCGUAAUCUCGAGAAACGAGCUACAAAUUGGCAUAUCUGGUGGUUCGCGUUAAUCUCAGCCAUCAUCCCCAUAGGAAUUUCGAGAGACAUUUCGAGGACUCGACUCUCGAGACACAAAAUGAGCCGGAUUAAAUGUAAUAUACCAGUCGCUAGCUUCAUUUGGGAAAUGAGACCGCCCGACCGUCUUCCACAGCCGAUUGAAUUAUUCUCCAGGCGUGAAUAGACUCGAACAAGUUUUAUACUAACGUGUAACGUAACUAACUGAUAUUCUAACAUUCAAUAGGGAAAUUUCAAUUAAAAUGCAAA